Molecule: ribosomal RNA, 253 nt
Filed under: uncultured bacterium
Lineage: Bacteria
Description: partial 16S ribosomal RNA
Rfam family: Bacterial small subunit ribosomal RNA
Source: RNAcentral
AACGUAGGACACAAGCGUUAUCCGGAGUGACUGGGCGUAAAGGGCGUGUAGGCGGUUGAGUAAGUCUGAUAUGAAAGCUCCUGGCUCAACUGGGAGAGGCUGUCGGAGACUGCUGAACUCGAAUGAGGAAGAGGCAGGUGGAAUUCCGCGUGUAGUGGUGAAAUGCGUAGAGAUGCGGAGGAACACCAGUGGCGAAAGCGGCCUGCUGGUUCUACAUUGACGCUGAGGCGCGAAAGCAUGGGGAGCGAACGGG